RNAcentral lists this ribosomal RNA (1143 nucleotides) under bacterium endosymbiont of Donacia fulgens. RNAcentral describes it as "bacterial SSU rRNA". It matches the Rfam family "Bacterial small subunit ribosomal RNA", at positions 355 to 1483 of the family's 1533-position model. The record is from RNAcentral.
UGGGGAAUAUUGCACAAUGGGCGAAAGCCUGAUGCAGCUAUGCCGCGUGUAUGAAGAAGGCCUUAGGGUUGUAAAGUACUUUCAACAAGAAAGAAAAGAUAGAAUCUAAUAAAUUUUAUCGUUGACGUUACUUGUAAAAGAAGCACCGGCUAACUCCGUGCCAGCAGCCGCGGUAAUACGGAGGGUGCGAGCGUUAAUCGGAAUUACUGGGCGUAAAGAGCACGUAGGCUGUUAAUUAAGUCAGGUGUGAAAUCCCUAAGCUUAACUUAGGAACUGCAUUUGAAACUGAUUAACUUGAGUUUCGUAGAGGGGGGUAGAAUUCCAGGUGUAGCGGUGAAAUGCGUAGAUAUCUGGAGGAAUACCAGUGGCGAAGGCGACCCCCUGGACGAAUACUGACGCUCAGGUGCGAAAGCAUGGGGAGCAAACAGGAUUAGAUACCCUGGUAGUCCAUGCUGUAAACAAUGUCGACUUGAAGGUUGUAAGCUUGACUUAUAGCUUUCGUAGCUAACGCGUUAAGUCGACCGCCUGGGGAGUACGACCGCAAGGUUAAAACUCAAAUGAAUUGACGGGGGCCCGCACAAGCGGUGGAGCAUGUGGUUUAAUUCGAUGCAACGCGAAAAACCUUACCUGGUCUUGACAUCCAUGGAAUUUAAUAGAGAUAUUUUAGUGCCUUCGGGAACCAUGAGACAGGUGCUGCAUGGCUGUCGUCAGCUCGUGUUGUGAAAUGUUGGGUUAAGUCCCGCAACGAGCGCAACCCUUAUCCUUUGUUGCCAUCAGUUCGGCUGGGAACUCAAAGGAGACUGCCGGUGAUAAACCGGAGGAAGGUGAGGACGACGUCAAGUCAUCAUGGCCCUUACGACCAGGGCUACACACGUGCUACAAUGGUAUAUACAAAGGGAAGCAUCCUCGCAAGAGUAAGCGAAUCUCACAAAAUAUAUCUUAGUUCGGAUUGGAGUCUGCAACUCGACUCUAUGAAGUCGGAAUCGCUAGUAAUCGUAGAUCAGAAUGCUACGGUGAAUACGUUCCCGGGCCUUGUACACACCGCCCGUCACACCAUGGAAGUGGGUUGUAAAAGAAGUAAGUUGCUUAAACUUUUAUUUUCUAAGGAGGGCGCUUACCAMUUUAUGAUUCUWACUGGGGGGA